AUCCGGCUGACGAGUCCCUAACAGCACGAAACACGCGUCUUGGAU
This is a non-coding RNA of Schistosoma curassoni, 45 nucleotides long. The record is from Rfam. Lineage: Eukaryota; Metazoa; Platyhelminthes; Trematoda; Strigeidida; Schistosomatidae.